GGUUAAGCGACUAAGCGUACACGGUGGAUGCCCUGGCAGUCAGAGGCGAUGAAGGACGUGCUAAUCUGCGAUAAGCGUCGGUGAGGUGAUAUGAACCGUUAUAACCGGCGAUUUCCGAAUGGGGAAACCCAGUGUGUUUCGACACACUAUCAUUAACUGAAUCCAUAGGUUAAUGAGGCGAACCGGGGGAACUGAAACAUCUAAGUACCCCGAGGAAAAGAAAUCAACCGAGAUUCCCCCAGUAGCGGCGAGCGAACGGGGAGCAGCCCAGAGCCUGAAUCAGUGUGUGUGUUAGUGGAAGCGUCUGGAAAGG
This 313-nucleotide ribosomal RNA is filed under the name Escherichia coli. RNAcentral's name for it is "partial 23S ribosomal RNA". It matches the Rfam family "Bacterial large subunit ribosomal RNA", at positions 1 to 350 of the family's 2925-position model. The record is from RNAcentral. Lineage: Bacteria; Pseudomonadati; Pseudomonadota; Gammaproteobacteria; Enterobacterales; Enterobacteriaceae.